Molecule: ribosomal RNA, 279 nt
Filed under: uncultured bacterium
Lineage: Bacteria
Description: partial 16S ribosomal RNA
Rfam family: Bacterial small subunit ribosomal RNA
Source: RNAcentral
UGCCAGCCGCCGCGGUAAGACGAAGGUGGCAAGCGUUGUUCGGAAUUACUGGGCAUAAAGAGCGCGUAGGUGGCGUGGUAAGCGAGGAAUGAAAUCCCAUGGCUCACCCAUGGAACUGUUUCUCGAACUGCCAUGCUUGAGGACGGGAGGGGAAGGUGGAAUUCCUGGUGUAGCGGUGAAAUGCGUAGAUAUCUAGAGGAACAUCAGUGGCGAAGGCGGCUCCCUGGCCAAAGACUGACGCUCAUGUGCGAAAGUGUGGGUAGCGAACAGGAUUAGAUA